AGUUAAUAUAUAAUACAAUUAUAACUGUCGCAAAAUUUAGGGGGGGGGGGGGGGGCAGGGCCCAUGCCCCCCAAAUCUGUGUCUGAUGGCAUAAAUAAUAAUAGAAAUAAUAAUACUCAUACAGUACUAUCUUUCAAACAUGUGUAUUUUAAAACCAGACUCACCAAAAUAAUCCAGUGUUCCUCCAAUCUGUUCGUCGGUCAGCGUGAGGUCAAGGUCGGGCGGUACGAUGGGCGUCUGUAUGAUCCAGUCCUUGUGGUUGUAGCCACCGAACUGUGUGGUUGUGUCGGCACGGAGACGAUAUCGCGGAAUCUGCUCCUCGAUCAGACUUACUAUCUCCACCUCAUCAGCGCUGUUACACACAUCUGAAAUACAGUACAUGAAUCAACUGUAAAAUCAAGCAACCACCCAUACAUAGAUUGAAUAGAAAUACAAACCUGUGACCACUCCAACAUCUCGAGUUUUGCUCAUUGGAAUUUCAUCAAGGGCCACAACUCCGUUUUCUUUGGUUGUGUCCACGGCAGCACCAUUACACACUCCAGUAUCAUGAGCAGCCAGUUUGUCAGACUGUGCAAAACAUUGUGAAAGACUGGAUAGGCUGGCCGUCCCUGGACCGCAGUACAAUCCAGGACGUGACGAGCCAGGACGUUACUUUUUGUCCAGUUCACUUAUACAACUAAUAAAUGAUAUGUAUAUCAAAUACUACUAAUGAAACACUGUUAGUUUAUGAAACCAAUGAUAUUUACUGGUUUUAAGUAUUUUUAUCAUCAACAUAAGUGCAUAAAAUCCCAAUUAAUUGAUCUGUCGUUGUGCAAAAACAAUGAUCUCAUACAAUAUUCAUAUAGUAUACUUUUAUAACCAGUAACCAGAUUGCUUAUCCUGAUGUUGCUAAGUCUGGUGAUUUUUGUCCUACCUGUACAAUACAUGUACAAACUAAAAAGAUGAAGUAUCUAGGUGUUACUUUUUCGUUGGCUGCCGCAUCACUUCUGCAUUUAGCUCAACAUUGAUUGUACAAAUGUAGCUUCAUUUCUCAUAAAUCACAUGUCCUGCAUCAGUAAAGAUUCAUUUAUAGUUCCAUCUAUGAAUGUUCUCCUCAAUGCACGUCAAAAUUUGUUUUUCAACUUUAUUAUUUUAAAAUUUUAAUUUAAUUUUUUGAAGUUUGAUUUUUUAAAAAUGUUUUAAAAACAUUUUUAAUAUGCAUUGAGAUGGAUAUCUACAGAUGCACUAUCAAUGACACUGAAUAAGUUUAUGGUAGGCAAGACAUUUAAUUCUGAAGACUUCUUGUUUGCAAUUUACGUUUUAGAAUUAAAAUAUAUUAUAUUUGGCCUUUUGCUGGUAUUUUUAUGAUCAUCUGAUUUAAUUGGAAUUCAAAAUAUGAACCCCAGUCAGUAUAGAAAUUAGUUUUUGGACAGUUUCUUCUUUCUGUUUAUCAUUAUCUGAUAGGCCAAACUGUCAACAAUGUAUAUUAUUAAUAUAAACUGUUGAUGGUUGACAAUAGCAAUAGUUUUAUGAUCAACAUGUAUCUUUACCAAUUACAUCCUUCACUGGAGAAAUGUUGGUUUAUAUAUUCUAAUUCAUGUUUGGAUACCCGUAUCUGCCAAGGAAUAAACUUAAGGUUUUAGCAGAACAUUCUAUUUGAACAAUUCUUUGACACAAUAUUUAUUGUAUGUGUACACCAGUUUGGAUUUACAAAAUGGAAAAUUUAGUAUAAAUACAAUAUUCCUUAAAUUGGUAGAUUAUCAAUAAUUCACUGUUUGGUCAAAACAUAGAAGCAUAGAAUUGAUAAUAGUAUUUGUUUAUCUACAUAAAUCCAUGUUAAGUAUUUGAACAUGCUCCCC
This is a long non-coding RNA of Gigantopelta aegis, 1838 nucleotides long. RefSeq lists it as uncharacterized. The transcript has 3 exons. The record is from RefSeq and is a predicted model, not a curated record. NCBI's taxonomy places the organism in Eukaryota, Metazoa, Mollusca, Gastropoda, Neomphalida, Peltospiridae.